CAGCAGCCGCGGGAAUACAGAGGGUGCGAGCGUUAAUCGGAUUUACUGGGCGUAAAGCGUGCGUAGGCGGCUUUUUAAGUCGGAUGUGAAAUCCCUGAGCUUAACUUAGGAAUUGCAUUCGAUACUGGGAAGCUAGAGUAUAAGAGAGGAUGGUAGAAUUCCAGGUGUAGCGGUGAAAUGCGUAGAGAUCUGGAGGAAUACCGAUGGCGAAGGCAGCCAUCUGGCCUAAUACUGACGCUGAGGUACGAAAGCAUGGGGAGCAAACAGGAUUAGAUACCCCCGUAGUCCCUGUCUCUUAUAC
Molecule: ribosomal RNA, 301 nt
Filed under: uncultured bacterium
Lineage: Bacteria
Description: partial 16S ribosomal RNA
Rfam family: Bacterial small subunit ribosomal RNA
Source: RNAcentral